Molecule: unclassified non-coding RNA, 331 nt
Filed under: Hevea brasiliensis (rubber tree)
Lineage: Eukaryota; Viridiplantae; Streptophyta; Magnoliopsida; Malpighiales; Euphorbiaceae
Source: RNAcentral
UUUCAUUGAUAUGGAUGUUUGUGCCAUAGAUUUUACCAUUAUAUGUAAGUUAUUGAUGUGGUCCACAUGCACGCCGGGAUUGUAUGUAGUAUCAAAUCUUAAUAAUUCUUUAUACAAGCAGUUGUUGGACAAGGUAAAUGGGAUAUGAAGUCAUUUUUGUUGGCCAAGCCAACAUCAUUGUGCUUGGUAUGUCAAUAAAUGCUUGCAUAUAUGCUGUUACACUGUUUGUGCAUGUGUAUCCCUGGCUAAUUGUGGUGGCAAAUAUGGUUCAUUAUUACAUUUUCUCUUAACUGCGCAAAACUUGAUCCAGAAAAAUGUCUGUUGAAGAGAA